Long non-coding RNA from Tympanuchus pallidicinctus (lesser prairie-chicken), 6911 nucleotides. RefSeq lists it as uncharacterized. The record is from RefSeq and is a predicted model, not a curated record. The transcript is spliced from 5 exons. Lineage: Eukaryota; Metazoa; Chordata; Aves; Galliformes; Phasianidae.
ACCAACUUGCUGUCUGUUAUACUUAAUGUCCUCAAACUGGAACAUUCUACCUUCAUUUUUUCCUUCUCUCUCUCUCUCUCAGUGCAUUCUAUCAGGACCAGGUGUGUUCAGCAAGCAGACGUGUUCAAGUAGAAGCUGCACUGCACCUUGUAAACUGCAAAGUGGCUUAUGGUAACUGGAACUUCUAGAUUCAGUGUUCUGUAUACAAAUGAAAAAUCUUGGAUAAUUAAGACUGAAGUCACUGAGAAUUUCAGUAUGCUGACUUUAAAGGUUCUAAGGAAACUCAGCACUUGAAACUGAAUGCAAGACUCCACUGUUAUCCAGUGCACUCACUGAUACCAGCCCCAGAAGAGAUUCCUGAGAAUGCCUAGAAAACCUGACCUUCCUCUCCUGACAGCACAUCAAUCAAGGCAGAGGACACUGGAAUGUGUUGCUGAGUUUAGCGUGCGCCCAGCAUGACAUCUCCAGACUCCAAGCAACACCCGAGCCUGGACUCCCUCCUAAGUCUACUGCAAGCUGUUGCUUAUCAGCUCGUACAGUAUAUUGAAAGCAGAUGGACAAGGAGAGCUGGCUGAGCAAAUUCUGGUGCUUCAGAAAAACUGCAAGCAGACUGUUGUCUAGAGGGCAAGCCUGCAGUCUACCUCACAAGUUCUGAAAACAGCCGUACCCCAGGGUGCAAUUGUAGAUAUUUUCAGUGCUUUUCAGUGCUCUUUGAAAAUACAGAGCAGCUGUGAAACAUUUGUUUUCAGUCUAUAAUUUAGACAGUUGAAGCAGAGUCACCAAAACCUCUCAGAAGUCUGCUUUAAAAGGACAGUAACCAUCUUAUCUUAAAAGAGGUUCAAGUUUCAACAACAUGCAAUAGAUCCAGAUGAAUAUUUAUUUAUGAGUUUGAUUCUACCUGCCCUUUUUCUCAUCCAUGAGUGGCUGAGGUCUGAGCAUCAUUUUAUUUCUAGAUUACAGCAGGAUGCUUGUCCCUGUGCACUCAUGGACGUAACAGCUGAGGUCCAGGCUAAAGGUACAAGAAUAUUAUGUGUGAUUGCCCUAAGCACUGGUUUCCACCUACUCUUGUAAGAAAAUUCUAGAAAAAGCUACCAGCAGUAAUGAGACCUUGGUGACCUUGAGAAAGUCACUUUACCUCUGUAUCAUGUGGCCCUAAAGUGUAAAAUAGGGCCAAUACUUGCUCCAAACCAUGCUAGCAGUUGAGUAGAGCCUGCAGUGUGGUUUAAUGUCACUGGGGAUUUGACACAGUAGAAAUGUUAUUGAAACACCAUGACAGUCUAACAGUGUUUCCAUUAAACAUCCCAUCCUUCACAGAGGAAGUUUAUGCUUUGGUGCAAGACAAACAAGGAAAAGAAUUUCAAAUGAGGCCUUUGUAGUAGGGCAUAUUCCUGCAUCUGGCCGUUCUGUUCCCAAGAGAGACAUUUCAACAGCCAGAAAUAAUGAAUAUGCUUAUGUACCUUCAGGUGCUUGGGAACAGCACAGAGAAAAGCAGGAGAAACAGGUACUUGUCUUCCUUAAGGAGAGUGUUGUAACAUCCGAACCUGAGAGCUGUGACCUUCUAGAAUGCAGAACUGCUCUGGUGUUCUGAAGCCUCUCACAGCACACAGCAGUACUUGCACAGAGCGCUGCAGAAAUGGCUUAACAGAGGAGGAAACUGGGGUCACUGUGCUCCAUGUCCUCACUUCAGUGUGCUGCUGUUAAAGGCACAGAUGCCAUGCCAUUUAUUACAGUGUAGAAACUGGUCUUAAAUGCUACAGCAAAAGGCACAGGCCAGAAAUAUUUAUCUUGAGGAAAAAUAUCCUCCACCCUCAUUAUCUACCCUUACACCAACAUCUGCUCACAGAGCUCCGUUUACAGCAUUCGUACACCACCCUGAUAUCCCUCUGAGUUUGUGUUAACAGAGCAGCAAGGGCAACUACAGUUGCUGAUAGCAAAGGAGCGAACAUCUACAGCCUGAGGUGCAUCAGACAAUAACAGAAACAACUCGAAUUUGCACAGAAGGGGUAAGAAAAAGUGGGAUUUGUAUCAUUUUUUGAUACUUUCAAAAAAUCAUAAUAAGAGGACUGUAGCUUUAAAUUGCAACUUUGUUUUAACUUCUGCUGUGCAUCCAGGGGACAGGUAAUUUUCCGUCACACCGUAUAUAGAGCUGCUGAAAAUACGCUGCUUUUUUCUGUAGUAUAAUUUUAUUGCUGGCCUCCUGCCAAGAGCCUUUCUGGCAGCAUCUUCCACAGUUGGAAACUGUGUAUCUGGGUCAGAAAAGACAAGUUGCUUUUCAGAACAGCUCAAUACAUUUGGCAGAGAUGCUGAUAUUAUAAUUGAACUCUUUCAGCAACUCUUUUUGUGAUGUACGCAGACAUCAAACAAAACAAGAUCUGCAAAGUUGAUUAGUGUCAGAAUAACUGACAGCGAAACAGCGAAAUAGUUUUCUCUCAUGUUAAAAGUAUCAACAAACCAAGAGAUAUAGAGAAAAAUGCAAUUCAAAAGGAUGCUGUGAGGAGCAUGGGGCAGAGAAACCUGCAGAGUAUGAUCAACCUUUGUGCACGUUUGCUGUUUUAAAUGCAAACUCCCUGUGUGCUGUACAGAACUGGUUUACUCAUUCUGCAUCACCAAAAAAGAGAAACUGCUGCCCAGUGCAACCAUAAAAACAAUCCGUAAAGAAAUGCAGCCAUAACACUGGGAUAUGUAUUUACUAAGACUCAGGUUGCUUGCAACAAUAUUCUCAGCAACCAUCCAGUUUCACCUGUACAUCCACACAAGUUUUAUUGUUUUCAAAGUUCCUGGCAGAGUUGCAUCUGGCUUAGCCUUUAGAAGUCUGCAAUUUUCCAGCCAGACAGAAAAUUGUAAAGCAACACCACACUGAGAGCUGGAAAGGUUCUUCCUCUGACAUUCUUACCCUACAUACAAUAAAUACUGACCUAGUAUCACUCCUGCUUGUUCUUAAGUUCUUAAGUUUGACAAGAAGCUCCUGUGCUCAGAUUUCUUCUGAGUUGAUAGGCCCAGCACCCCACUUUUAUGGUUGCCAGAGACAGGUUAGGCACUCAUUUGAUAAACAGAAUAGAGGAAUCAUCCAAGUCAUUCUUCUGGGAGCCUGGGAGAACUUUUGGCUCUUAAAUAACAAACUGACAUAGGAACACAAAGUACAAUCAACUUAAUUAACAUUCAGCCUGUCGGUAACAUCCAGAACAGAACUGUCCAUAAAACAGCACUAUAAGAAUAUAUAUACAUAUAUAAAUAACAAAGGGAGAACUUCUUGGCACAGCCUCAAAAAAACAAUACAAAAAAAACCACGGUUACAUACUACAUAAAUAAAUAAAAGCAAAGUAUUCAUCUUCAAACUAGCCAGAAACCAUGACUACACUCUCCAUGUCUGAAAUGUUCAACUGAUUUCCAGCUUCCAGCACCAAACACAGGCAUUCCUGCUCUUCUCGCUAAACUGGACACUGGAAACCUGGAGCUACUUUGCAGUACAGACCUGCUGGUGAAGCAGUCAUAAUUUGAUACCAACAUUCAAAAAAAAAUCACAAUAAAUUUCAAAACAGACUGCGUUCGUUUACAGUUGAAGAAUUAACUAAAUUAAUAAAAAGGAUCACAUUACUGAAAAGACUCCAUCUGUACUGUCAGUUUUCCCAGAGACAUGCACUACUUCAGCAAAUGCCUGGAUCUAGGUCUGAAGUAACAUCCAGCUCUCCAAAACAGAACCACAUGUUCUGUCCCCUCAAGUACACAGCGCAGUUUGGCACCAUGCUGGGCUUCCUGCUGCCUAAGCCAUGCCACGCUCUCUGGUCUCAGUACCACAGUUCUGUAGACCUUCAAACUUUUGGACAUUUUCCAUCCCCAUAUCAUUUCUGUCCACAUCCUUACCUUUGUGUUUUUCUUUGCUCCAGAACCACAGUGGGAAGCAGUCACAGUGAAGGAGAGGAUAAGAACUGGGACAUUCUUUCCCCAGCAUCCCUCAACUUAACUCAAAAAGCUGCAGUGCCCCAGUUUCCUUCCUGCUAUGAUUCAUAUCCCAUUGACUGCAUGUUAGCCUAAGCUACAGAUUUUUUUCCUCUCAAAACAAAACCAGCUCAAUACCAUAGGAAACACCUAUGCAGUUUGGAUUCCUAGAGGACAGUCUCUGCAGGUACCAUUUAGCACACAGGCUUAUUGCAAUGAAGUAUCACCAGACACUUCCUGGGCACUCCAAAAGGUCAGUCUUACGUGACCACUCACCAACACAGAAGAAGAUGUUUUUAAAAUUCUCAUGUAAAAGAGGAAGGCCUUUUUCCUUCAAGGUAUCAGGAUCAGCAUCUCCCCUAGAAUUCCUUCCUUGAUGUCCCCAGUGGCAACGCAUGAAGAACCUGGCAUUUUCAACACUGCAAAUUCACUCUGGAUGGCACGCACAUCAGCCACUUUAAACAUUCAUGACUCUCCACUUAAGUGCAUUUUGUGAUAUGUCAGUCUUGCUGCCUCACUGACUUUUUUUUUUUUAAGAGAGAAGAUUCACAAGGAUCUGGAAGACUAUCAGUGUCCGCAGGUGCUGUGCAAAGAGCUCUUCUGUUCUCUGCCAGUACACAUCCACCAUCAGACUUGACCACGUUCGAGUUCCACUCUGAUGACCAAACAAGAUUUUGUCUUCAGUUUCUGUAUCAUUCGUAUUUCCCAAGUUGAGAACUGAAUUCCUUAACUGCUUAUUUAUAACAGGAUGGCAAAGUUUUACGUACCAAAAUAUCUGUAGCAUCAUAUUCUAAUUUCUUUAGAAAACACAGUUAAGUAAUUGAUCUUGAACUUGAGAAGCUGUAUUAAAAUUCAAAUAAAUAAGUAUAUUAUCUGGGGAAAAACAAACAAACCCCAAGGAGCUGUCAGAAUAAUCCAACAGCCUCACCUGGCUGUGAUUUUAAGGACACAAACACAACUUUGUUGCUUUGGUUCAUUUCCCUUAAAUUUCAUGAAUUGCCACAGAUCUGUUUAAUCUCUCUUUACAGCUAAUGAUACCAUCUCUACUGUGCCAAUUUACUCAGAACAGCAUAAAAUAUACCAAUGGUUCUUCAAUCUUUGUCAUUCACUGUUUUCUCUCCAUCAUGUAAUUACCAUCUCAGUUUGCUCUCUCAACAUAAAGCAAUACAUGUCUAAACAACAAAACAGAAGGCUAUGAUGAACACCAGUGCCUUGGAGGCAACCUGCUUGCACAAGCCAAAGGCACCAGCAUUUCAGUAAACGUGUGAAAGUAAGAUGUCAUCCAGGUUAGGAAGCAGAAGUGCAUGACAGCAAGCUGUUGCAACUCCAGUGUAAAAGAAGGCGUGUACCCAUUUUCCCUCAAAGCAAGCAAAUAAACCAUGGAAUCAGCAGCAGCAUUCAGAAUGCUCUUGGCUUUGCAGGGAGAUUGAUUUACAGCAACCACCACCACCUCACUUUCUGCCCAAAGCUCCUCCAUACACUGCAGUUGCUAGAAGUAACACUUGAAAUUGCUGUCAGGGAAGGACUGGAGAAAAGCCGAGUUUGUUUAUUUGGGGCCAUUAACUGUAUUUUACAUCUAGAUGUUUCAAUUUCCCCUGAUCACAGGAAAUCUGCUAUUCCUGAAAGAAACAGUGAAGGGAUUUCUGUUUUUAUUUUUUUUUAAAGAAGGCACGCUGGGAAAGCUACAGUAAAUCAGGCUAGGAGCGCACAGUUCAAAAUGCAGGGCACAGGAUCAAAACCAGAACAAACAACAUCCACUUUAUAAACUAACAGCAUCACUGCUAAGCUGGGAAGCAGUACGUGUAACCUUUCAUCUCUCAGUCAGAAUUUCUGAUGCAGCUACAUCACGUGACAGUCUUACUGGCUUUCUUACCUGCUUAACCAUCAGUGUAAAUCUGUGCCAUGUCACAACAUCAUCAUUAUUAAAGGAUAUGGCAAAGAGAACAAGAACCAGAGAAAAGCAAACACUGAACUCUAGUCUUAAGAGCGCCAAAAAACUCCUUAGUCUUUACAGUCAAAAACCAUAUUUUAGUGUUAAAAGAAUUUCAGGUUCUCACGUUGUCGAAAUGGCUUCUUCCACCUAUGCAGAAGCCUCAAUGACAGAGCAGCGAGUGCCUGGAAUGCAGUGGACAAACACUACCAGACAGUUCUGUGCUUUACUGAGACAAAAUCUGAGAGUUAAAUUUAGACUGAUGACUUCUGCAGGCACUCAGAUGUUUCUGCUUUAAGUUUUCUAGAAAUUGCAAAUGAGAACUUGGCAGAGUUUAAAUUGACCCAGCAUGUUUCUUCUGGAAUCAAAAUCAUAUUCUGUCCUAUUACUCUGCAAAACUGUUAAGAAAAAAAAACCCAUGCUUUUCAACACAUGGCUUCAGACAACUGACAGAGACAUUCCAUUUAUUUUUGUGCUGAGAAAAAAAACCACAGGUACCAUUUUUUUCUUCUUCAAAAGUCACUACGAAAAUUAAUAGAGGAAUCAAAGUUAGCUCCAUGGCAGCAUAAGCACAGUUUGCUGAACAACACUACUUACGUAACUGCAUUAAUUCAAAUAUGGCUACGGUAAUUUCUUUCCAUUUACCAUGGGAAAAUACAUUGCACUUGGAGACUCUGAUCUCAUUCUUAAAUACUAGACACUUAGCAGAGCAUGCAGGUGUCACCAAGCUGUUCUGUGGUGCAGCUGGUAAUCCUUGCAAACAUUUGCAAUCUUUGAAUGGCAGCAGAGACACUGUGUUGUUUUCUGUUUGUUUGUUUUGCAAUACCAUGAACAGCUGAUAGAAUGAAAAAGCUCAGAGGUUACACACUGAAGAAAUAUAGGUCGUUACUUCUCCAUCUGCUGGACCAGAACCAUCCUUCAAAGGCCAACUUGGCAAAAAGUCACAGUAAAUGCUUGACAACAAUUACCUCUAGACUCGUGAGAUUCAAAUUAGCAAUUCUGUAUCUGAGUAUGGUGUGAUUAAACUCAAGAAUUUAAUUCAGAA